This 348-nucleotide unclassified non-coding RNA is filed under the name soil metagenome. RNAcentral describes it as "partial contains 5.8S ribosomal RNA, internal transcribed spacer 2, and large subunit ribosomal RNA". The stretch from base 1 to 120 matches the Rfam family "5.8S ribosomal RNA", at positions 35 to 154 of the family's 154-position model. The record is from RNAcentral.
GAUGAAGAACGUAGCAAAAUGCGAUAAGUAAUGUGAAUUGCAGAAUUCAGUGAAUCAUCGAAUCUUUGAACGCACAUUGCGCCCGCUGGUAUUCCGGCGGGCAUGCCUGUUCGAGCGUCAUUUCAACCCUCAAGCCCCCGGGUUUGGUGUUGGGGAUCGGCUCUGCCCUUCUGGGCGGUGCCGCCCCCGAAAUACAUUGGCGGUCUCGCUGCAGCCUCCAUUGCGUAGUAGCUAACACCUCGCAACUGGAACGCGGCGCGGCCAUGCCGUAAAACCCCCACUUCUGAAUGUUGACCUCGGAUCAGGUAGGAAUACCCGCUGAACUUAAGCAUAUCAAUAAGCGGAGGA